GCUCACUGAUCGAGUCGUCCUGCGCGGAAGAUGUAACGGGGCUAAACCAUGCACCGAAGCUGCGGCAGCGACGCGCAAGCGUUGUUGGGUAGGGGAGCGUUCUGUAAGCCGUCGAAGGUGGACUGUGAGGUCUGCUGGAGGUAUCAGAAGUGCGAAUGCUGACAUAAGUAACGAUAAAGCGGGUGAAAAGCCCGCUCGCCGGAAGACCAAGGGUUCCUGUCCAACGUUAAUCGGGGCAGGGUGAGUCGACCCCUAAGGCGAGGCCGAAAGGCGUAGUCGAUGGGAAACAGGUUAAUAUUCCUGUACUUGGUGUUACUGCGAAGGGGGGACGGAGAAGGCUAUGUUAGCCGGGCGACGGUUGUCCCGGUUUAAGCGUGUAGG
RNAcentral lists this ribosomal RNA (381 nucleotides) under Chloropicon mariensis. RNAcentral describes it as "partial Bacterial large subunit ribosomal RNA". It matches the Rfam family "Bacterial large subunit ribosomal RNA", at positions 1140 to 1524 of the family's 2925-position model. The record is from RNAcentral. Lineage: Eukaryota; Viridiplantae; Chlorophyta; Chloropicophyceae; Chloropicales; Chloropicaceae.